CGAAAUCAGAGGGAAACAACAUCGGCGUCAGCCAACUCAUACCGACUCUAACGUUUGUGCUUGGUGAAAUAAACUAUUUGAUACAUGUGAGGCCGGCGCUAAGGUAAGCCGCAUGUGUUUGAUAUAGCGAUUGGCUGUUACGAAUUGGAUAAACAGAAGAUAUUCGCCGCGAGAGAAAUCAAAACAAACAGAACAGCAGGUAUAGUUUAUGUGGCUUUACGGCAGCUUGUUCUUCGAUUUCAAAAUCAAAAAAG
This 254-nucleotide long non-coding RNA is filed under the name Octopus vulgaris (common octopus). Lineage: Eukaryota; Metazoa; Mollusca; Cephalopoda; Octopoda; Octopodidae. The record is from RNAcentral.